Molecule: ribosomal RNA, 1202 nt
Filed under: Bacillus siamensis
Lineage: Bacteria; Bacillati; Bacillota; Bacilli; Caryophanales; Bacillaceae
Description: bacterial SSU rRNA
Rfam family: Bacterial small subunit ribosomal RNA
Source: RNAcentral
CCUAUACAUGCAGUCGAGCGGACAGAUGGGAGCUUGCUCCCUGAUGUUAGCGGCGGACGGGUGAGUAACACGUGGGUAACCUGCCUGUAAGACUGGGAUAACUCCGGGAAACCGGGGCUAAUACCGGAUGGUUGUUUGAACCGCAUGGUUCAGACAUAAAAGGUGGCUUCGGCUACCACUUACAGAUGGACCCGCGGCGCAUUAGCUAGUUGGUGAGGUAACGGCUCACCAAGGCGACGAUGCGUAGCCGACCUGAGAGGGUGAUCGGCCACACUGGGACUGAGACACGGCCCAGACUCCUACGGGAGGCAGCAGUAGGGAAUCUUCCGCAAUGGACGAAAGUCUGACGGAGCAACGCCGCGUGAGUGAUGAAGGUUUUCGGAUCGUAAAGCUCUGUUGUUAGGGAAGAACAAGUGCCGUUCAAAUAGGGCGGCACCUUGACGGUACCUAACCAGAAAGCCACGGCUAACUACGUGCCAGCAGCCGCGGUAAUACGUAGGUGGCAAGCGUUGUCCGGAAUUAUUGGGCGUAAAGGGCUCGCAGGCGGUUUCUUAAGUCUGAUGUGAAAGCCCCCGGCUCAACCGGGGAGGGUCAUUGGAAACUGGGGAACUUGAGUGCAGAAGAGGAGAGUGGAAUUCCACGUGUAGCGGUGAAAUGCGUAGAGAUGUGGAGGAACACCAGUGGCGAAGGCGACUCUCUGGUCUGUAACUGACGCUGAGGAGCGAAAGCGUGGGGAGCGAACAGGAUUAGAUACCCUGGUAGUCCACGCCGUAAACGAUGAGUGCUAAGUGUUAGGGGGUUUCCGCCCCUUAGUGCUGCAGCUAACGCAUUAAGCACUCCGCCUGGGGAGUACGGUCGCAAGACUGAAACUCAAAGGAAUUGACGGGGGCCCGCACAAGCGGUGGAGCAUGUGGUUUAAUUCGAAGCAACGCGAAGAACCUUACCAGGUCUUGACAUCCUCUGACAAUCCUAGAGAUAGGACGUCCCCUUCGGGGGCAGAGUGACAGGUGGUGCAUGGUUGUCGUCAGCUCGUGUCGUGAGAUGUUGGGUUAAGUCCNGCAACGAGCGCAACCCUUGAUCUUAGUUGCCAGCAUUCAGUUGGGCACUCUAAGGUGACUGCCGGUGACAANNCCGAGAAAGGUGGGGAUGACGUCAAAUCAUCAUGCCCCUUAUGACCUGGGUUACACCUUGCUACAAUGGAC